UAGGUAUCUCAUUGGUGUCUUGUGCUUGAU
This 30-nucleotide non-coding RNA is filed under the name Mus musculus (house mouse). The record is from RNAcentral. Lineage: Eukaryota; Metazoa; Chordata; Mammalia; Rodentia; Muridae.